RNAcentral lists this ribosomal RNA (330 nucleotides) under uncultured eukaryote. Its description in RNAcentral is "partial 18S ribosomal RNA". It matches the Rfam family "Eukaryotic small subunit ribosomal RNA", at positions 1470 to 1796 of the family's 1831-position model. The record is from RNAcentral.
CCCUUAGAUGUUCGGGGCCGCACGCGCGCUACACUGAAGGAAUCAGCACGUCUUUCUCCUUGUCCGAAAGGACUGGGUAACCCGCUGAACCUCCUUCGUGCUAGGGAUUGGGGCUUGUAAUUCUUCCCCAUGAACGAGGAAUUCCCAGUAAGCGCGAGUCAUAAGCUCGCGUUGAUUACGUCCCUGCCCUUUGUACACACCGCCCGUCGCUACUACCGCUUGGAUGGUUUAGUGAGAUCCUCGGAUUGGUCCCGGCGCGGCCUCUGGUCGUGCCGGAGUGCCGAAAAGAAUGUCGAACUUGAUCAUCUAGAGGAAGUAAAAGUCGUAACA